Cyprinodon tularosa is the source of this 1622-nucleotide long non-coding RNA. RefSeq lists it as uncharacterized. NCBI's taxonomy places the organism in Eukaryota, Metazoa, Chordata, Actinopteri, Cyprinodontiformes, Cyprinodontidae. The record is from RefSeq and is a predicted model, not a curated record. The transcript is spliced from 9 exons.
UUUUUAAGAUAUAAUAAAUUAAAAUUUAGGCCGGUGACGUCACCACCCCCCUAUUAGAGAGCUGCGGAAGUGAACAAGUCAGCAGCAAAGCAAAGGAGUCUCGUCUAAGUUAGUUUGAGUCACCUAUGCAUGUCAGUGGAUGUUUCAAGUGUGUAACUGAUGACAUACCAACUUCAAGAUCCUUGUAUCUACUACCUGUAUACCUUAGCCCUCCAAUAAAGCUGCACUCUGCACUGUCUUCACUACCUUUGCCAGAUCAUCAUAAAGUUCCCACAUACAUGGAGCUCUUCGGCAGUAGGCAGUGUAAUGUCCAAGACCGUGUUUGGUUGAGCUGGCCUUGAAAGCGAUCACUCCUUUUAAGGUCAGUGUCUUUCCUUGGAGAGCCACAACAGAGGGAAAUUCACACAAAGGAAAUUCAGUUGUGUUUGCAAGCUGGACACUCUGAUUCAUCCUCCAGUGGGCGUAGGCAGGGAGACUCUGGUAAAGAGAGCCCGUUUUCUACUGCAAUGUCAAGAUGUUGCACUGGGCAUCGAUUUGGUAGGCGCCAGACCUCAACUGGACUUUCUCAAACAUUGUACAAAGUAGCUGUGCUCUCUCCGAAUAUAUCCUUUGGGUCACACCCUCUGUAACAAUGGCUUUAACCAGCUGCAAGAUGGGGUUGUCACCGUCAUUCCUGACAACAUUCUGAAAUCCUGUGCUGUCACAGAAACCACAACAUAAGCACUGACAGAAAGCAUCAAAUGCACAUGUGUUCAGCACAGAGAUUGCUGACUUCCCAACUCUAAUUGGGGGAAGAAUUUGUCCCUUCCAGUUUUCCACCACAUCUUCAUCUGCUGGAGGAAUGUCUGUGGUUUUGUCGGAUUCCUCAGAGUGAACAAAUCCUCAUAUUUCCUUCUAUGAAGGAAAGAUGACGGGAAAUGAAGCGAUCAACUCGAAUAGGCAAGUUGUCGUGUUUAAAAAGUCCAUGUUUUAUAUUUUUGAACUCUGCUUCAACAGUGGCUGAGCUUGCUGUGAGGCUGGUGCUUUUGAAGAGGGGGACCAUAACUCCUGUCCAAAGUGUCUCUUAGGUCAGUCUGGAUCUCAUCAAAAGGAUCCCCUUGAUGCAUUUCCUCUGUGUCUUCAGCUGGAAUGUUGAAAGAGUCUUCUGUGAUCUGUGCUUUCAGGGUCGCCAAAUUUGGGAGGUGACUUGGUUCAGGAUCUCCAAUAUCCAUCAAUUCCGAUGCCUUCGCUGACCUCCAUACAGCCGGCUCCAUCCUGCCCUCACACAGCUCUUUUGAAAUCUGUGCACGAAGCUUUCCAGACAUGAACCUCUUGGAACGACCAGUGUGCAGGGAGAUAUCAGUGUCUUCGAUGGAACACUCCAGAAUCAUUGGGCUGUUGACUAUUGGUUCUCUGGCACAUGUCAUUUUAACGUGGCCCUGACACUCUUUACAGAAGCCCUUGAUAUCGAUGUAAUUGUUUGUGACAGUUGGAUAAACCUUUGCUCUCUGGAACACAAAUGUACAUGUACUUUUAAUUUUUUCCCAUAUCAGAUGGUUAAUUACAUGACUCCAAGUGCCUGGUUUCAAAAUCAUAUAUUCCCUUUUGCCAGAUGAUGAAAAUUUGUCAUUAUAUUGUACUUU